UAGUCCACGCCGUAAACGAUGGAUACUAGCUGUUCGGACUUCGGUCUGAGUGGCUAAGCGAAAGUGAUAAGUAUCCCACCUGGGGAGUACGUUCGCAAGAAUGAAACUCAAAGGAAUUGACGGGGGCCCGCACAAGCGGUGGAGCAUGUGGUUUAAUUCGAUGAUACGCGAGGAACCUUACCAGGGCUUAAAUGUAGUGGGACAGGCUGGGAAACCAGCCCUUCUUCGGACUCAUUACAAGGUGCUGCAUGGUUGUCGUCAGCUCGUGCCGUGAGGUGUCAGGUUAAGUCCUAUAACGAGCGCAACCCCUGUUGUUAGUUGCCAGCGAGUAAUGUCGGGAACUCUAACAAGACUGCCGGUGCAAACCGCGAGGAAGGUGGGGAUGACGUCAAAUCAUCGUGGCCCUUAUGGGUAGGGCUACACACGUGCUACAAUGGUCGGUACAGAGGGCAGCGAAACCGCGAGGUGGAGCAAAUCCCAGAAAGUGCGUCCCAGUUCGGAUUGAAGUCUGCAACCCGACUU
This 522-nucleotide ribosomal RNA is filed under the name uncultured bacterium. RNAcentral describes it as "bacterial SSU rRNA". It matches the Rfam family "Bacterial small subunit ribosomal RNA", at positions 791 to 1318 of the family's 1533-position model. The record is from RNAcentral.